AUCAUCCUGCGCUUGAUGUCAUUGUGGAAGUCUUUCAGAGGCAAUGCUGCGCCCUGACGACGCGCAAGGAGGGCCUGCAGGUCACAAAGUGCUAGCAUUGGCAUGACAAUAUGAGCUCUCUGACAACUGCUCAACAUCAGAGGCCUAUGUUCAUGAUUUUUAUUGUACCACUGCAAUAAUGUAGAGCUGCACAUCCCAUUAUGGCGAGAGUGAAAAGCUGAACCUGAUCGCGGUCGACGAAUACGUUUGCGUGACUAUUAUAAUGUUCCCUGGUCUUUCUUACAGCAUCAGCAUCCAUCACCAGCCUAGAGGAUUAGAAAAAAAAAUCCUUUUAUUGAUAUAUCAUGACCUGGCAUGUAGUGCAGGAAGUCGAUCGAUGGAUGAUCGAAGCAUGACCACGGUUACCAAAGACCUCUGACAUGCCUGCACUCCUAACUAUCUGUGCACAUGCGCAGAAGGUCCGACUUCCCUGAUCAACAGAAGUACUCAGGAUGUCUAGUGUGAUGUGAAAUUUUCAAGG
RNAcentral lists this long non-coding RNA (520 nucleotides) under Coccomyxa subellipsoidea. RNAcentral describes it as "long non-coding RNA (CSUB_LNC000639)". Lineage: Eukaryota; Viridiplantae; Chlorophyta; Trebouxiophyceae; Coccomyxaceae. The record is from RNAcentral.